RNAcentral lists this long non-coding RNA (210 nucleotides) under Citrus maxima (pomelo). RNAcentral's name for it is "long non-coding RNA (CMAX_LNC001829)". The record is from RNAcentral. Lineage: Eukaryota; Viridiplantae; Streptophyta; Magnoliopsida; Sapindales; Rutaceae.
ACAGUAAUCACAAAUACUAAUAUAGUAUUAUAAUAUUUUGAUACCAUGGUGUUAUUAUUUUAGUGAUACUAUAGUAAUAGUAAUUACUGACACCACUUACAAGUGUCACUAUUUUUCUGACUCCCAGAUUACUGACACAAUUAACAAGUGUCAGUAAAAGUAAUUUCUGACACUAUUUUAAAGUCAGUAAAGACCAUUUUUCUAGUAGUG